GGGUAGAGUAGAAGAUGGAGUGCUGGUAGGGAUGAAACCUCCACUUGAUAGCCCUUUGUGGAGUGUUUACUAGGGGUCAUAGCAAAGGCCUGUGAGCACCUCCCAACAACCACUACUGGGACUGUGGACUACAGAAUUUCUACUUGAGAGGCAUUUCUGCCUUGGAAUGGGACAUUAACAGAAGCUAUCCCUAUGACUGGAGGACAUAAAAUGAUCUUGACACCUAAAAUACACAUGCUGUCUGGAGUGAUGUCAGAGAAACACUCUAACGGGGAUAGCAGUGCCCAGAAGAGUACAUAAUAAAAUGGGAAUGGAUCUUGCUACCUGAGGAGUGCAAAGAGGAUAUACUCAUGAGCUGCGAGCCUCUUUCUCUCCUAGGACUGAUCCUGGAACUGGACACAAUUGGAGACACAUUAUUUUACCAAGGCUUUGACUGGAAUGGUCUAUUUUCAGACAUGAUCAAUCUGCUUGGGGAAUUGAAGUUGACUGCAGAGAGCCAAUAAAAAGCCCAUGGAAAGACUGGUUCCCUAAGAAGUUUCCUGACCCGUGAAAACUAAAGUCAUAGUAUUCUGAAGACUAGAGAAAUUCAACGAAGCCUGUCAAUCUCCCUUGUUUGAAAUCCCAAGGAGUAUGUUGGCAAUGAGAAACCAAUAUGGCCCAGUGGGAUUUCAAAGGCUCUGGGACCAUUGCAAAAAAGAAGGGUGCGUGAGACUCUACACAUGAAUUAGUGGAAUGUGGAGGACAAAGCAACGCCACCUAGGAUGUUAAUCCACCAUGUGGACUUCCCCUGUUCUGGGAAGGCUUCUAAGAUUUCCCCUCUCUCUAUUGUUUCUUGUGUAAAAGCAUGUACUUACUGUAAAUCCUGCCCUUAGAUCAAGACAACUUUGAUGUUAUUGUAUUUCAAUUGUCCUACAUGUCCCUUCUGAGUCACCCUUUCCCUGUGGUAUACAACCCCUGGGUCUGAGGGGUAAUGGCACUGGGAUCCACCAUCUUGUCUCACUGCCGCCUGAGAUGCAGACAGGGCUUCUGUUUUUAAGUCUCCAUUAAAUGUUUCUUUUUGAGAAACG
Molecule: long non-coding RNA, 1067 nt
Filed under: Homo sapiens (human)
Lineage: Eukaryota; Metazoa; Chordata; Mammalia; Primates; Hominidae
Description: HSALNT0009110
Source: RNAcentral